Molecule: small RNA, 1320 nt
Filed under: Theobroma cacao (cacao)
Lineage: Eukaryota; Viridiplantae; Streptophyta; Magnoliopsida; Malvales; Malvaceae
Description: sRNA Tc08v2_g013090
Source: RNAcentral
UAGUUUCGAAAGUUUUGAGAAAAAUGACCAAAAUACCUCUGUGUAGUUGAAAUUUCUCUUUGACUAUUUUUGAACUGAAAUUGGUUCAUAUCACUUUAAAACAUGAUUUUAGUAACUAAUACUCACAGGGGAAGCGAGAAAACUGAUGUUAAGCCUUGCGAGGUUUCGAUUGGCAUUUUGGGUAAUGAAUGUCUAUCGGGACAUCGUGACAAUUGUCACAAGCUCGAGGGGUGUUUCGGGUCGUGACAAUUAAGAUUCGUGCAAUCCAACUUACAAGGGGAAAUGGAGUUAAACUAACUCGUUGGCAAGCUAGAGGGAGAUUGGCGGCUAAGCACCAAAGCUUGGCUGGAAGUAUAUUCAAUUUGUCAUUGGAUGGUGGUAAGCAAGGACGGUGGCACUAAUCACACUUGUGACUCAUGCCUAUGGUGCUUUGAUGCCAUCCCUAGAGAUUCUAGGUGAUGCUAAUCGUUGAGAGAUUACUCCUGUCAAUGACUUUGAUUCUUUGGCUGUUGCUUCAGCACUGUGCAUGAUUUGUUCUCUUCCUAUUGCUUUGGCAAGCACGUGAUCUAUUCUCCACUAGUGGUUUUGCCUUGAGCAUGAUUUGAUUCUCCGUCGGUUGGCCAUCAAGUGUGAUUCGAUUGUGUCCAAGGGAGGAACACUCAUUGAUUUGAUUUGUAUAUGACAUGAGAUAGCCAUGGAAAGGCUUAGAUAAAUAUUAAAUGAACCUAAUGUGAUGCUUCGGCAACUAGAGUGUGCCAUGGAGAAUGAUUUGAAUAACUUUGACUGGCUUCGAGAGUAAGCCUAACGAUGUGUGAUAAUCUUUGGAGACAUUGAGGAUGAUGAUAUGCCUUCACAUUGGAGACUUCAGAGAUAAUGAUAUGCCUUGUAUUUGAAGAUGUUUGCUAGAACAUCUAGAUGCAUAGACAGUGUAUAUAUUUUAUAUAUGUAUUUAAUAUAUAUGAUUUUGUCUAUCUGCUCCACUCACUGAGUAUUGUAGUACUCACCCAAUUGUAGGUCAUGUGCAGAUAAAUAGAAUACAGAGCUAUGUGGUAAAGGUCAUUCAGUGGCAGACCGAUUUUGGCAUCCGGUAGGUUCCCAUUUGCUAUGUCACUCCACUGCGUCAGUCAUGAGCUUUCGCUCCACACUUAGUUUGUUGUGUAUGUAAGCACGUUGUGCCAUAUGAAUUUAUGUGUAAAGGUUGUUAUAUACGAACUAACGUAUGGCCCUAUAAACAUUUAUAUGAAUUAUGUGCCAAGGAUAAUGUAUUAUAUUUGGUUUUAUUAUGAAUAUUUGAUUAUUGAAUCCUUUGGCUUUGUGUUA